GACGAACGCUGGCGGCGUGCUUAACACAUGCAAGUCGAACGGAAAGGCCCCUUUGGGGGUACUCGAGUGGCGAACGGGUGCGUAACACGUGCGUAACCUGCCCUUGACUUCGGGAUAACUUCAGGAAACUGGGGCUAAUACCGGCUAGGAAUCCUUGCUGCAUGGUGGGGGUUGGAAAGCUUCGGCGGUUUUGGAUGGACUCGCGGCUUAUCAGCUUGUUGGUGGGGUAGUGGCUUACCAAGGCUUUGUCGGGUAGCCGGCCUGCGAGGGCGACCGGCCACAUUGGGACUGAGAUACGGCCCAGACUCCUACGGGAGGCAGCAGGGGGGAAGAUUGCACAAUGGGCGGAAGCCUGAUGCAGCAACGCCGCGUGCGGGAUGACGGCCUUCGGGUUGUAAACCGCUUUCAGCAGGGGCGAAGCUUGUGGUGACGGUACCUGCAGAAGAAGCACCGGCUAACUACGUG
This 465-nucleotide ribosomal RNA is filed under the name uncultured bacterium. RNAcentral describes it as "partial 16S ribosomal RNA". It matches the Rfam family "Bacterial small subunit ribosomal RNA", at positions 28 to 507 of the family's 1533-position model. The record is from RNAcentral.